CACGGAAAUAUUUUAUUUAUAAUAUAUGAAAUUACGAACCACUAGAUGGAGGCACUUACAGAAUAUUUUUACCCUUUUAAAAAUAAUUUUAAAAAAAUGACAUUGUGCAGGAUACGUAUUUCUUAGUAAAUCUGUAGGUGAGUGAGACAUCUUUUAUAGAAAUUGUUUAAAUUAAUGAUUAUAGAAAAUGUAUUAAAGAUAAAAGAGAUCAAAUGGAGGAGGUUCGGCAGUUCUUCCUCUCGUGGACCUAUCAUAACUGUGAGAGUUUCUGUUAACGUUACCUUUAUAUCCUGAUCGUCCAUUACCGGAGAAUCUUUCGUCCAUACACUCCCUGCAAGGAUCAUUGCUUCCAAGUCGUUUCUGUAAAUUUAAUGAAAGUCGUCGCGAAACCUUUCUCCCUCGUCCCUCUCUCCUCCCUCCAGACAGUAAUAUUGAUUACCCUCUUCUCCUCCCAUCUCGAGUAAUUACACCUUCCCUCCCCUCCCAGACUUAUUGACUGCUCCGCUUUUUUUGUCUUUUUUUUUUUCCUCCUUUGACACUCGGUGCACCAUAGCGCCCGGGGAAGCACCGAUUCACGACAUAAACAUUGUUUUGAGGUAACCUGAUGAGAGUUUUACCUAUCUGGAAUAGUAGAUGCAACGAAAAGGAUUACAUUGAUAGUUGAAAUUUUUGAAGUACAUAUUUUCCGUUGGAAUGUUGGUUUGUUUCAAUUUUUCAAUUAGAAACUAUUAGUCCAUGAUAUAUUAAACCCCUACAAAAAUAGGAACAGUAACAAUUGCAGGAUUGAUCUAUUCAAUAAGGGGGUUUAUUUAUCUUGUAAACAAAGAAUUUAUCUAAACGAGUUUAUCGUAAGGCGAGAUAUAGGUGUACCGGCUCCCUCUCUUUCUUGUUUAUUUACUGCAUUUUAAAGUUAUUCUCGGCGUAAUGAGGCCAAUAAUAAGUUAUGUGUCGUAAAAGUGUUGGUGCAAGAAUCGUCGACAUAAUUAGGAAUGCUUAACAGUGACUAUAGAUUAACAAUUAUAGCUUCCAAAAGCCAAAAGUGGAAAAAGGUAAAGAUGCUAUAAAAAGAUGAGGCAUUGUUCGAUUUAGUUUCUUACACCAAAGUAACGUGAACAGUAAAGCGGUUUUACGACAUCCGUAAAGGUCCGAAUACCUGGCUGCAACAUCACAACUAUCCUGAUCUUAUAGGAAAAGCUAUUAUACUAUAAAGCUGUAACAUGGCGUCGAAUUGUUCGAAACACUUCUUUGUAAUGGAGAUCCUGUAUGACGAAUAUUGAAUACGUAAUCUUCUUGCAUGCACUGCUAUAUAACAAAGAAGGAGAUAACACCAAGCUGGGAGGAUUGGGAGGGGGUCGAACGGUGUUGCACUUGUUUGGAGAAUGCCAAAAUGCGAUUACGACACUCCGGAAGUGUAAGAGGGGGACGACGUAUCGGUAUCUUUACCCCGAAGUCGUGUUCGCCAAAUAAACCGCUGAAACCCGUAAAGAGAAGCAUAAGUUGGGAAGAGCGAAAAAAAUCUGCACUAACCGUGAAUAUUUUACUUUUUCGAAUGAAAUUUGCAAACUUCAUUGCGACUUUAAACAGUUUUUUGCAUUUCCGAGAAAUUUUAAAUUUUGAUUUUAAUGAUCACUAUUUUCAUAAUUUUCUGAAGAUAUUUUAAAAAAUUUUAAGGCUGAAUUAUUCGAAUAUCUGUUUAGUUUUAACCAUUUAAUAAAUAUAAAUAGAGAAAUGAUGAGAUUUAGUUAUUUAUUUAUUUUAAACACUCGAUAUAUCUCGACGACCUAUAACGAACUCAACUAUGGUGAACCUAGGUAUUUGAUAAUGAGCUAAAUUAAUAAGGCUGAAGUUCAUGACCUUAGCUUCCGUCAACCAGUUCGUAAGAAUCAAUACGAGUCUUCUAAAUAAUACCCUGAGAGAAAGGACGUUAAAAGACAAGAGAGUUAAUAGAGAGAGAGAGAGACCUUCGAUCGCUUCAACCUGAAAAACUGCCAUGUACAUUGGGCCAUGUGGCAUUAUCUGUGCCUGUUUAAUGUAGGAAAUAAAUAUGUAUGUAAACACACGGAUAUUAGCAUAAUGUGAAAUGAAUGAGGAGUCACUCUAACCCCUGAUUAUGCGGUUGGUGUUAGGGGGUUCCCCUCUAAGCUCGGAUUGAACGGUCUCUUUAUAUUUAUCUCCUUUUAGUAAGAUCUUUAUCUUCGCCAAUAACUCUGCUUCUUUUUUCUGCUAUCCUUAAACCACUUCAUGAGUUGAAUUGUUAACACAUUUUUUAUUUUAAAUCAACGCCUGUUUUAAAAUUUUAAUUUUCUGUCUUACUAAAUUUACUCUUUGCAUAUGAUAAACAUUUUAAAAUUGAUUAAUUAUA
RNAcentral lists this long non-coding RNA (2362 nucleotides) under Androctonus crassicauda. The record is from RNAcentral. Lineage: Eukaryota; Metazoa; Arthropoda; Arachnida; Scorpiones; Buthidae.